This 335-nucleotide long non-coding RNA is filed under the name Physcomitrium patens. RNAcentral describes it as "long non-coding RNA (PPAT_LNC004668)". Lineage: Eukaryota; Viridiplantae; Streptophyta; Bryopsida; Funariales; Funariaceae. The record is from RNAcentral.
UCCUACUUUCACUAAUACCUCAGUAGUUGUCCUUGCCCAAUGCUUUCGAGUAUAAUGGCUCAAAGUUUCCAUUUCCUUGUCACUAGAAUCUUCGAAAUGUACUCGUUGAUUAUACCCAUUCUUUUCAUUUGUUGGUUGCUUGUAACCAAUAUCAACCCCUUCUUCAUCUUUAUAUAUUCUUGCAUCAAUAGCAUGACUCAUUCCAGUUUCGCCCAUUAAUUGCUUCUUUCGCUUAAUGCUGUCAAUGAUAACAUCAUGAAACUCCUUCUUUCCAAUUUCCAAGACUUCUUUCAAUGUGAAUUCCACCUUAGCGUUUAAUAUACGUUCUUCCAACA